This 492-nucleotide ribosomal RNA is filed under the name uncultured bacterium. RNAcentral's name for it is "partial 16S ribosomal RNA". It matches the Rfam family "Bacterial small subunit ribosomal RNA", at positions 29 to 507 of the family's 1533-position model. The record is from RNAcentral.
AGUGAGCGCUGGCGGUAGGCCUAACACAUGCAAGUCGAACGGCAGCACAGUAAGAGCUUGCUCUUACGGGUGGCGAGUGGCGGACGGGUGAGGAAUACAUCGGAAUCUACUUUUUCGUGGGGGAUAACGUAGGGAAACUUACGCUAAUACCGCAUACGACCUACGGGUGAAAGCAGGGGAUCUUCGGACCUUGCGCGUUUGAAUGAGCCGAUGUCGGAUUAGCUAGUUGGCGGGGUAAAGGCCCACCAAGGCGACGAUCCGUAGCUGGUCUGAGAGGAUGAUCAGCCACACUGGAACUGAGACACGGUCCAGACUCCUACGGGAGGCAGCAGUGGGGAAUAUUGGACAAUGGGCGCAAGCAUGAUCCAGCCAUACCGCGUGGGUGAUGAAGGCCUUCGGGUUGUAAAGCCCUUUUGUUGGGAAAGAAAAGCAGCAGGUUAAUACCCCGCUGUUCUGACGGUACCCAAAGAAUAAGCACCGGCUAACUUCGUG